GCCUGGCUGGCUCAGUCAGUAGAGCAUGUGGCUCUUGAUCUCAGGGUUGUGAGUUCGAGCCCCACAUUGGGUG
This 73-nucleotide transfer RNA is filed under the name Felis catus (domestic cat). It matches the Rfam family "tRNA". From Rfam's summary of the family: Transfer RNA (tRNA) molecules are approximately 80 nucleotides in length. Lineage: Eukaryota; Metazoa; Chordata; Mammalia; Carnivora; Felidae. RNAcentral also lists the same sequence under 1 other name. The record is from Rfam by way of RNAcentral.